AACAGGAUUAGAUACCCUGGUAGUCCACGCCGUAAACGAUGUCGACUUGGAGGUUGUGCCCUUGAGGCGUGGCUUCCGGAGCUAACGCGUUAAGUCGACCGCCUGGGGAGUACGGCCGCAAGGUUAAAACUCAAAUGAAUUGACGGGGGCCCGCACAAGCGGUGGAGCAUGUGGUUUAAUUCGAUGCAACGCGAAGAACCUUACCUACUCUUGACAUCCAGAGAACUUAGCAGAGAUGCUUUGGUGCCUUCGGGAACUCUGAGACAGGUGCUGCAUGGCUGUCGUCAGCUCGUGUUGUGAAAUGUUGGGUUAAGUCCCGCAACGAGCGCAACCCUUAUCCUUUGUUGGCAGCGGUUAGGCCGGGAACUCAAAGGAGACUGCCAGUGAUAAACUGGAGGAAGGUGGGGAUGACGUCAAGUCAUCAUGGCCCUUACGAGUAGGGCUACACACGUGCUACAAUGGCGCAUACAAAGAGAGGCGACCUCGCGAGAGCAAGCGGACCUCAUAAAGUGCGUCGUAGUCCGGAUUGGAGUCUGCAACCCGACUCCAUGAAGUCGGAAUCGCUAGUAAUCGUGGAUCAGAAUGCCACGGUGAAUACGUUCCCGGGCCUUGUACACACCGCCCGUCACACCAUGGGAGUGGGUUGCAAAAGAAGUAGGUAGCUUAACCUUCGGGAGGGCGCUUACCACUUUGUGAUUCAUGACUGGGGUGAAGUCGUAACAAGGUAACC
Molecule: ribosomal RNA, 730 nt
Filed under: uncultured bacterium
Lineage: Bacteria
Description: bacterial SSU rRNA
Rfam family: Bacterial small subunit ribosomal RNA
Source: RNAcentral